AAAAAGAUAAAACUUUCGAUAAGUUAUGUAAACUCAGAACAAGUAUUUAACUUUAGAAAGCAUUUACAUGUUUCAAACUUAUAAUAUAUACAUAUAUAAUGUUUAAAAUUAUGUAUAUAAAACCUGUGUAAAAUGUGCUUAAAUAUGUUUCUCUUCUUUAAUGUGUUAAUUGUACUAUAUAUAACAUUAUUUUAAAAUUUCAAAAAGUUUAUGUCACAUACAAAAACCAUCAAUAAAAAAUAUAAUUCUCCAUCUACAACCA
Molecule: long non-coding RNA, 262 nt
Filed under: Brassica rapa (field mustard)
Lineage: Eukaryota; Viridiplantae; Streptophyta; Magnoliopsida; Brassicales; Brassicaceae
Description: long non-coding RNA (BRAP_LNC003429)
Source: RNAcentral